RNAcentral lists this ribosomal RNA (1125 nucleotides) under Triticum aestivum (bread wheat). RNAcentral describes it as "partial small subunit ribosomal RNA". Lineage: Eukaryota; Viridiplantae; Streptophyta; Magnoliopsida; Poales; Poaceae. The record is from RNAcentral.
AUGGCGACGGGAUCCACAGAGACGGACCUCAUGACCGAUCCAACGAUCAAGCUCCCCGACGACCUCCUGGUCGAGAUCAUCUCGCGCUUGCCGUACAAGUCCACCCGCUGCUGCAAGUGCGUCUCCACGCGCUGGCGGGACCUCAUCUCCCACCCCGACCACCGCGACAAGCUUCCCCAGUCGACCCUUGCCGGCUUCUUCUGCAAAAACCACGGCAUGGACUGCGAUCCACGUUUUCAUGAUGUUUACCACAGCGUCUCGGGGGAUUGGUGCCCUUUUGACGACUCUCUCUCGUUCCUACCUGAAUACGAGCAGCUUGAUAUCUUGGGCUGUUGCAAUGGCCUCCUCCUCUGUCUAUGUUCGCAGCCUUAUGCCGAGAAACCGGAUUAUGUGGUGUGCAAUCCUGCCACUGAGAAAUGGGUAACCUUCCCUGCCAACCGGAUUGUGUCGUUUGCUCACCUGGGAUUCGACCCUGCCGUCUCCUCCCAUUUCCAUGUGUUUGAGUUGGUACCUAUCAAAGGUGGACAUGAUUAUAGGAUCGAAGAGGUGGGGAUCUACUCUUCCAAAGCUGGAGGUUGGACACAUCAAAUUGCUUGGGACGAUCCAAUUGAGAUACGCUACUUUUCAGGUGGCACAUUCCUCAGCGGGGUGUUGUAUUUACCUUCUGAUAAUAAUUCGGUUGCAGCCAUCGAUGUGGAGGGAAAUUGUAGGAUCAUUCCUCUUCCUACUUCUCAUGAUGCUCCUAUUGUUCCUAAUGUAUAUGUAUCACUGGGACAAUUGCAUCUCACAAAUAGGGGUGCUUCUGAACUAUCAAUCUGGGUUCUUGAAGAUUCUAGUAGCGAAGAUUGUUGGACCUUGAAGCUCAAUGUCAACUACUUGCAACUGUUUGGAGAAGGGUAUUCAAGCCGCAUGCCAUAUUAUGGUGUUAUCUCAGCACACCCAGAACACAAUAUGGUAUUCAUAACCAUAGGAUUGAGAUCGGGGUUCCAAGAGCUUGUGAAAUUAUUUUCAUACGACGUGGAUUCUAGGGAGCUGUGUUUCGUAUCUGAUCUUGGCUGGUAUGUCAGGCGGGCUUAUCUUUCAUAUGUUCCUUUGUUCUCGGAGUCAUUAGCAGAUGGGCACUAA